This 501-nucleotide ribosomal RNA is filed under the name uncultured bacterium. RNAcentral's name for it is "partial 16S ribosomal RNA". It matches the Rfam family "Bacterial small subunit ribosomal RNA", at positions 30 to 523 of the family's 1533-position model. The record is from RNAcentral.
AUUGAACGCUGGCGGCAGGCUUAACACAUGCAAGUCGAGCGGGGGAAGGUAGCUUGCUACCGGACCUAGCGGCGGACGGGUGAGUAAUGCUUAGGAAUCUGCCUAUUAGUGGGGGACAACAUCUCGAAAGGGAUGCUAAUACCGCAUACGUCCUACGGGAGAAAGCAGGGGAUCUUCGGACCUUGCGCCAAUAGAUGAGUCUAAGUCGGAUUAGCUAGUUGGUGGGGUAAAGGCCUACCAAGGCGACGAUCUGUAGCGGGUCUGAGAGGAUGAUCCGCCACACUGGGACUGAGACACGGCCCAGACUCCUACGGGAGGCAGCAGUGGGGAAUAUUGGACAAUGGGGGGAACCCUGAUCCAGCCAUGCCGCGUGUGUGAAGAAGGCCUUAUGGUUGUAAAGCACUUUAAGCGAGGAGGAGGCUACUCUAGUUAAUACCUAGGGAUAGUGGACGUUACUCGCAGAAUAAGCACCGGCUAACUCUGUGCCAGCAGCCGCCGCAG